RNAcentral lists this ribosomal RNA (2942 nucleotides) under Ambystoma mexicanum (axolotl). Its description in RNAcentral is "eukaryotic LSU rRNA". It matches the Rfam family "Eukaryotic large subunit ribosomal RNA". The record is from RNAcentral. Lineage: Eukaryota; Metazoa; Chordata; Amphibia; Caudata; Ambystomatidae.
ACUAUGGCCUCAGAUCAGACUUGGCGACCCGCUGAAUUUAAGCAUAUUACUAAGCGGAGGAAAAGAAAUUAACCAGGAUUCCCUCAAACGGCCAGUGAAGAGGGAAAAGCCUAGCACUGAAUCCCUGGUUAGCGGCAGGCGUGGGAAAUGUGGCGUACAGAAGACCAACUCCCCGGCAUCGUUCAUGGGGCUCAAGUCCUUCUGAUCGAGUCUCACACUGCGGACGGUGUUUAGGCCGGUAGCGGCUUCUGGCAUGCCGGGAUCAGGUCUUCUUGGAGUCCGGUUACUUGGGAAUGCAUCCCAAAGCAUGUGGUAAACUCCAUCAAGGCUAAAUACAGCUCAGAGACGGAUGGCUAACAAGUACCGUAAGGGAACAUUGAAAAGAACUUUGAAGAGAGUUCAAGAGGGCGUGAAACUGUUGAGAGGUAAACUGGCGGGGUCCAUGCAGUCUGCCAGCAGGAUUCAACACGGCAGGCAGGUUGGUCGCCUGGAACGGUGGAUGAUCUCGCGGGACUGCAGCCCGGGCAGACUCGGCCCACGCAGGGCGUAUUUACUCUCUGGCAGGCAUCGCGACCGGCUGGGAAGGCCUCAGGGGGCAGGUGGUUCUCUGCUCUGGUAGAGAGUGUUACAGCACCGACAGCAGUUUUGCUGUAUCCGCGGGGCCAAGGGAGAUUGGCCGCUGCGUGCCCUUCUCUGGCAACCAUCCUUGCCCCUCUUGCGGGUCACCAGACCAGCAACGGGAGACAGGGCUCCCAAUGUGACUGUGGCGGACUGCCCUCAGAGCGCCCCGACCGCAUCAUGCCGCCAGGCGGGGAGGCCCACAAAGGGCACCAGGGGUCUGCGGUGAUGUCGUUUAACCACCCGACCUGUCUUGAAACACGGGCCAAGGAGUCUUAACAUGUGCGCGAGUCAGAGGGCCAAAUGAAACUAUUUGGUGCAAAGAAGGUGAGGGCGGGCGCAUGCCGAUUGCAGUGGCAUCCCGCCACGGUGGGCGCCCCACCGUCUCGUCCGCUCUGUCAGGGAGAUGGAGCAUGAGCCUGUGUGAUAGGACCCGAAAGAUGUGAACUAGGCCUGGUGGAGGUCCGUAGCGGUCCUGAUGUGUAAAUCGGUCGUCUGAUCUGGUUAUAGUGGUAAAAGACUAAUCGACCAUCUAGUAGCUGGUUACCUCAGGAGUUUCUCUCAGGAUAACUGGCACACGGAAACCCCAGUUUUAUCUGGUAAAGCGAAUGAUUGGAGGUCUUGGGCCGAUAUGAUCUCAACCUAUUCUCAAACUUUAAAUGGGUAAGAAGCCCGGCUCACUAGCGUGGAGCCAGGCAUUGAAUCCAAGUGGCCAGUGGGCAACCUUUGCUAAGCAGAACUGGCGCUGCGUGAUGAACCGAAUGCUGGGUUAAGGCACCCGAUGCUCAUCAGACCCCAGAAAAGAUGUUGGUUGAUAUAGACAGCAGGGCGGUGGCCAUGGAAGUCAGAAUCUGCUAAGGAGCCUUGGGGAGAGUAAUCUUUUCUUUGUGAAGGGCAGGGCACCCUGAAAUGGGUUCACCCUGAGAGAGGGGCCUGAGCCUUGGAAAGCGUCACGGUUCCGGCGGUGUGCAGUGAUCUCUCGCUGGUCCUUGAAAAUCCAGGAGAGAUGGUGUAAAUCUUGCGCCGGGCCGUACCCAUAUCCGCAGCAGGUCUCCAAGGUGAACAGCCUCUGGCAUGUUGGGACAAUGUAGGUAAGGGAAGUUGUUAAGUCAGAUCCGUAACAUCAGUAUAAGGAUUGGCUCUAAGGGCUGGGUUGGUCAGGCUUGGGCACAAAGCAGGGCUGGGUGCGCCCCGUGGCCGGAUGAGGCGUCUCAGCCCCCACCCCGCACUCUCCCCGGGGCGGUGCCGACUCUGGAUGCCAGCAGGGUCCUGCAUGUGGAUCACCCCAGCUGCGGUGGUCGCCUCUCUCUGUUCCCCUUCCAGGGUUCGGGGCCGAUGUUCUUCCUCGGCCGACGCCAAGUAGCUGAUUUAGACCUGGUGCGGACCAGGGGAAUCUGACUGUUUAAUUAAAACAGCAUUGCGAAGGCCUGCGGUGGGUGUUGACGCAAUGUAAUUUCUGGCCAGCGCUCUGAAUGUCAAAGUGAAGAAAUUCAAUGAAGCGUGGGUAAACGCAGGAGUAUCUAUGACUCUUAAGGUAGCCAAAUGGCAUGUCAUCUAAUUAGUGAUGCUCAUGAAUGGACGAACAAGAUUCCAACUGUUCCUACCUACUAUCUAGCGAAACCACAGCCAAGGGAACGGGCUUGGCAGAAUGAGCUGGGAAAUAAGACCUAAUUGCGAGGUAUGAAAAACCACUCAAGUGAAAAACCACUACUCUUAUUAUUUUUUCAUGUACCCGGUGAGGUGGGGGCAAGCCCCGUGGGGGCUCUCACUUCUAGCUCCAAGCGUCCAGUGCCCACCGUGCGCGACCUGCUCUAGGGACAGUGGCAGUUGAGGAGUUUGACUGGGCGCUACACCUGUCAAACAAUAAUGCAGGUGUCCUAAGGCGAACUCAGGGAGGACAGAAACCUCCUGCAGAGCAGAAGGGCAAAAGCUUGCUUGAUCUUCAUUUUUCAGUAUGAAUACAGACUGUGAAAGCUGGGCCUCACGAUCCUUCUGACUUUUUGGGUUUCAAUCAGGAGGUGUCAGAAAAGUUACCACAGGGAUAUCUGGCUUGUGUCGGCCAAGCGUUCAUAGCGACGUCGCUUUGUGAUCCUUCGAUGUCGGCUCUUCCUAUCAUUGUGAAGCCGAAUUCACCAAGCAUUGGAUUGGUCACCUGCUAAUAGGGAACGUGAGGUGGGUUUAGACCGUCGUGAGACAGGUUAGUUUUACUCUACUGAUGAUGUGUUGUUGCAAUAGUAAUUCUGCUCAGUACAAGAGUGUUAGGCAGAAUCACAUGCAGUACCCUUUGGGAACACUACAUGCAGUUAAGACUACAAGUGUUAGUA